AGUGAACGCUGGCGGCGUGCUUAACACAUGCAAGUCGAACGAGAACGGAUUAUAGCUUGCUAUAAUUGUCAGCUAAGUGGCGCACGGGUGAGUAAUGUAUAGGUAAUAUGCCUCUUACUAAGGGAUAACAAAUGGAAACGUUUGCUAAUACCUUAUACUCCUUAUUAACAGAAGUUAAUAAGGGAAAGAUUUAUUGGUAAGAGAUUAGCCUGUAUUGUAUCAGUUAGUUGGUGGGGUAAUGGCUUACCAAGACUAUGACACAUAACUGGUUUGGGAGAAUGAUCAGUCACACAGGAACUGGGACACGGUCCAGACUCCUACGGGAGGCAGCAGUGGGGAAUAUUGCACAAUGGACGAAAGUCUGAUGCAGCAACGCCGCGUGGAGGAUGACACAUUUCGGUGCGUAAACUCCUUUUAUAUGAGAAGAUAAUGACGGUAUUAUAUGAAUAAGCACCGGCUAACUCCGUGCCAGCAGCCGCCGUAA
This 484-nucleotide ribosomal RNA is filed under the name uncultured bacterium. RNAcentral's name for it is "partial 16S ribosomal RNA". It matches the Rfam family "Bacterial small subunit ribosomal RNA", at positions 29 to 523 of the family's 1533-position model. The record is from RNAcentral.